GACGAACGCUGGCGGCGUGCCUAAUACAUGCAAGUCGAACGCAGUGGGAACGGGUGAGUAACACGUGGGUAACCUCCCAUCAGAGGGGAUAACACUUGGAAACAGGUGCUAAACCGAUACUGAUGGAUGGACCCGCGGUGCAUUAGCUAGUUGGUGAGGUAACGGCUCACCAAGGCCACGAUGCAUAGCCGACCUGGGAGGGUGGUCUGGAACACUUGGACAGUGAGACGGCCCAGAAUCCUACGGGAGGCGCAGGAAGGGAAUAUCCGGCGAUGGGCAAAAGUGUGACCCAGCAACGCGGCGCGAGUGAAGAAGGUUUUCUGAUCUUGAAACUCUGUGGUUAGAGAAACGGGAUCUAAACAGAAAGCCACGGCUAACUACGUGCCAGCAGCCGCGGUAAUUC
This 403-nucleotide ribosomal RNA is filed under the name uncultured bacterium. RNAcentral's name for it is "partial 16S ribosomal RNA". It matches the Rfam family "Bacterial small subunit ribosomal RNA", at positions 28 to 526 of the family's 1533-position model. The record is from RNAcentral.